GAGGAUGCAGGGUUAUCUCGCAAACGAUCUCUGCAAAAACAUAGUUGCCGAUUCCAAUCGCAACGACUUCGCCCUCGCUGCAUAAGCGACGCCGAUAGUCCGUCAGACCGUGGUUGACCCCGACACGGAUCCUGGCGUCAUCUAGGGGUCUUGCUGAGAAGCGGCGUCUGGACGCUUCUCGGGACUCUUUCCAGACUGGGCUCGUCGACUUAGGUGUCAGUGACAAAUGUCGGAGCCGAGCAGAACGUCUUCACUGACUACGCCCGUAGAAGGCGCAGAGACACAGAUGGACGGGG
RNAcentral lists this small RNA (296 nucleotides) under Pycnococcus provasolii. RNAcentral describes it as "partial transfer-messenger RNA". It matches the Rfam family "transfer-messenger RNA", at positions 52 to 350 of the family's 374-position model. From Rfam's summary of the family: Bacterial tmRNA, also known as 10Sa RNA or SsrA, is named for its dual tRNA and mRNA-like properties. Its role is to liberate the mRNA from a stalled ribosome. To accomplish this part of the tmRNA is used as a reading frame that ends in a translation stop signal. The record is from RNAcentral. Lineage: Eukaryota; Viridiplantae; Chlorophyta; Pseudoscourfieldiophyceae; Pseudoscourfieldiales; Pycnococcaceae.